RNAcentral lists this ribosomal RNA (469 nucleotides) under Porphyromonas sp. oral taxon 278. RNAcentral describes it as "bacterial SSU rRNA". It matches the Rfam family "Bacterial small subunit ribosomal RNA", at positions 28 to 487 of the family's 1533-position model. The record is from RNAcentral. Lineage: Bacteria; Pseudomonadati; Bacteroidota; Bacteroidia; Bacteroidales; Porphyromonadaceae.
GAUGAACGCUAGCGAUAGGCUUAACACAUGCAAGUCGAGGGCAGCAUGGUCUUAGCUUGCUAAGACUGAUGGCGACCGGCGCACGGGUGCGUAACGCGUAUGCAACUUGCCACACAGAGGGGGAUAACCCGUCGAAAGACGGACUAAUACCGCGUACACUUACAGGAGGGCAUCCUUCGGUAAGGAAAUGAAAUUCGCUGUGAGAUAGGCAUGCGUCCCAUUAGCUAGUUGGUGAGGUAACGGCUCACCAAGGCAACGAUGGGUAGGGGAACUGAGAGGUUGAACCCCCACACUGGUACUGAGACACGGACCAGACUCCUACGGGAGGCAGCAGUGAGGAAUAUUGGUCAAUGGGCGAGAGCCUGAACCAGCCAAGUCGCGUGAAGGAUGACUGUCUUAUGGAUUGUAAACUUCUUUUGUAGGGGAAUAAAGAGGGGCACGUGUGCCUCAGUGAAUGUACCCUACGAAU